UGAACAUAUUAUUGUAUUCGACUGUAUUCACGGCGUGAAAUAGGGGAUUAUAUUGUUUUUAAAACAAAAGGUGAAUCAAUUAACAUAAUAGACUCCU
RNAcentral lists this microRNA precursor (97 nucleotides) under Nicotiana sylvestris (wood tobacco). RNAcentral describes it as "MIR6152 microRNA precursor family". It matches the Rfam family "MIR6152 microRNA precursor family". Lineage: Eukaryota; Viridiplantae; Streptophyta; Magnoliopsida; Solanales; Solanaceae. The record is from Rfam by way of RNAcentral.